This 1235-nucleotide ribosomal RNA is filed under the name human gut metagenome. RNAcentral's name for it is "bacterial LSU rRNA". It matches the Rfam family "Bacterial large subunit ribosomal RNA", at positions 1326 to 2569 of the family's 2925-position model. The record is from RNAcentral.
AAACCCCCUCGCCGAAAGACUAAGGUUUCCUGAUCAACGCUAAUCGGAUCAGGGUCAGUCGGGUCCUAAGGCUCAGCCGAACGGCGAUGCCGAUGGCAGAAACGGUUAAUAUUCCGUUACUACCUUCAGGAGUGACGUGGAGACGCAGUAGUGACAGUGCCGCCAUCUGACGGAAUAGAUGGUUGAAGGGUGUAGGAGUCGAUCAUGGCAGGCAAAUCCACCAUGAGAUCCGAACCUGAUAGUAUGCCGCGUCCUUCGGGACAAGGCAAUAGUGCGCGUAAGCAUGCUGCCGAGAAAAUCCGCUAAACUUAAUCCUGGAGGUACCCGUACCGCAAACGGACACACGUAGUCGGGAUGAAUAUUCUAAGGCGCUUGAGUGAUUCACGGUUAAGGAACUAGGCAAACUGACCCUGUAACUUCGGGAUAAAGGGUCCCUACCCUUUUAUGGGAGGGCGCAGAGAAUCGGUCCAGGCAACUGUUUAACAAAAACACAGGGCUGUGCCAAAUCGAAAGAUCCAGUAUACAGCCUGACACCUGCCCGGUGCUGGAAGGUUAAGAGGAGAUGUCAUCGAUAAGAGAAGCGUUGAAUUGAAGCCCCAGUAAACGGCGGCCGUAACUAUAACGGUCCUAAGGUAGCGAAAUUCCUUGUCGGGUAAGUUCCGACCUGCACGAAUGGUGUAAUGAUCCGGACGCUGUCUCAACCAUGAGCUCAGUGAAAUUGUAGUAUCGGUGAAGAUGCCGAUUACCCGCGAUGGGACGAAAAGACCCCGUGAACCUUUACUAUAGCUUAUCAUUGAAUCUGGGCACGUGAUGUGUAGGAUAGGUCGGAGGCUUUGAAGCAGGUACGCCAGUAUUUGUGGAGCCGCUGUUGAAAUACGACCCUUUAUUUGUUUGGAUUCUAACCCGUGGAACGGGGACAUUGAUUGGUGGGUAGUUUGACUGGGGUGGUCGCCUCCAAAAGCGUAACGGAGGCUUCUAAAGGUGCCCUCCGGCCGAUUGGUAACCGGCCUUAGAGUGUAAUGGCAUAAGGGCGCUUGACUGGGAGACUGACAAGUCGAUCAGGUAGGAAACUAGAGCAUAGUGAUCCGGUGUUUCCGUAUGGAAGGGACAUCGCUCAAAGGAUAAAAGGUACUCCGGGGAUAACAGGCUGAUCCCUCCCAAGAGCUCAUAUCGACGGAGUGGUUUGGCACCUCGAUGUCGGCUCGUCACAUCCUGGGGCUGGAGAAGGUCCCAAG